CUCGCGCGCCUGCCCCUCUCCCAAAACCCACUCUCUUGCGCCCGCGCCUCUCCCAAAACCCAAUCCCUCUCUCUCGCGCCCCCUGUUUCCCAACCUCUCUCUCUCGCUAGGGUUUUCAAAACCCCCUUUCGCUGCAAACUCGUCGUUGAUAUGUGAUCACACCAUGUGCUAGGGUUUUCGAAACCCCUUUCAUCCUAUCCUCGUCAGCACCUCGUCUCCUCCACCAGCCGCAGCCCCUGUGACCACAAAUUUCGUCCGCAGCCACCGUCCCUGCUCCACCAGCGUCGCCACCUCCACCGAUCGACGCCAACAUUUGCCCCAUCGAGAGCUCGAUUCGGAGUUUUAGCUGAUUUUUCUUGUUUCAAAUCAAGGGUUUUCUGUUUUAGAAUAUCUUUUCUUUUUCCCUUUUCAUAUUAUAUAAUUUUUUUUUUAACUUUUAGCCAUUUUUCCCCGUUCGAUUCGAUGGGGAUAGUGAUUUUUUGAUGAAAUUGAAAAUUUCUGUGUGGUUGUUAUAUAUGAUGGGGAAUCUAGCCUGUGCAGAGUGCACAUGGUAGUUAUCCUGUUCCCCUAGUGGGCCCCGCCGCCAAGCUGCAACCGUGGGAUGCUCCUACUGAUCCGUAAUGGGAGGGUGUAAGAGAAUGUUGUCAGGUGAGGACAUUGGAAGGGAAAAUGCUCAACCCAUUUCCAAGUGACUGGACUACUACCUGAUGUAGUCGGUACUACUUGCAAUCAACAUCUUGAGAAAGUACUUGGAACAGAUCAUGCAAGCAUUCUGCGUGUUCCAUUCAGAAUGGAGAAGGGAAUUCUCCAGACUUAUAUGGAGGCCCCAAUCUGCAUUUGAAAAGAAUGUUGAGGUUAUAUUCAUGAAUGCUUCUAAUCAAACUUGCUGAAAUUACAAUACCAAUUGAAAGUAGCAAGGAAUCUAGCUAAUCUCUAAUCAAUAUGCAGUUUGCUGGUAAUGAGAAUGGCAUCACUGCAUUUCAGAUGGAAGGUCAAGACAAAUCAAAUCAACAGAACUCAGUUUUUUCAGGAGAUGCUUUGUUUCUUGUCCAUUGGAAAGACAGGUUUUUAAAUGUCAAGUUUUUUGUCAUGUUGAUUCAGGUUUUUUGUCAUCUUGAUUCAAGUUUUUAAUUUUAAUUUUAAUUUUAUUUUGUUGUUGAAGCAUGUAUGUUUCUAUUGCCACUUGUAUACAGGUUUCUAUUGCCACUUGUAUGUUUCUAUUGCCACUUGUUUAAUAUUGCAAGUAAAGGUUCUAAUGAUUUGGUAGUGGGCCUAGCCUCUAAAGGAAUCCGCCAAUCAGCCCUUUGGAUUAGGACUUCUUUUCCCUACUCUUUUCUUUGAUUUAGUUGCUUUUGUUGCUUGCUCCAAAAAAAAAAAAAAAAAAAAAGUCGUGUCAAUCUGCAAUGCAUGUAUUAGGUGAAAUGCUCUGUCUAUCAAUGAUGAGUUUUUUUAAAGGCUGGUGGGUCUAGUUAGUAGAAAGGUGCCAUAGAGAACCACCUAUUGCUUAGAGAAGCCAGCCUUUUGUCUCCUGGUCUAUUCAUCAUGCGAGUCCCAUCCUAGGGGAAAAUAUUUGUGUACCUACAUGUUUGUAAUGGUCUAGUAACAGUGUUAUAACCUGAGUAGUUUUUUGCUAACACACAUGGGCCUUUCCUACUGUCUAAUAUGCUUUUAAAGUUUUGCAUUAACAUGUGUCUCAACCAUGAAUGAUGAAUGCUCUCAGUCUAGUUGGUCUCUCUCUUUUGACACAGUAGUAUAGAACUUCGACAGCUGCAGCAGCUACACUGACCAUUAUUUUGAGAGAAAAAAUGUGCAAGUUGUCAUAUUACAAAACAUGGCAUAGUGUUUACUCUUAUAAUCAUCUUAUAAUAGAAUUAGCGAAUGGAAUUUGUCAAUUUCUUUCCCAUAAUGUGACUUGUUUUUUGUUCAUGUUACAACG
Molecule: long non-coding RNA, 1936 nt
Organism: Magnolia sinica
Lineage: Eukaryota; Viridiplantae; Streptophyta; Magnoliopsida; Magnoliales; Magnoliaceae
Exons: 3
Source: RefSeq, a predicted model, not a curated record